Long non-coding RNA from Osmia bicornis bicornis, 629 nucleotides. RefSeq lists it as uncharacterized. The transcript is spliced from 3 exons. Lineage: Eukaryota; Metazoa; Arthropoda; Insecta; Hymenoptera; Megachilidae. The record is from RefSeq and is a predicted model, not a curated record.
AUAUUUUCAUAUGUCUAUGGUUGCACAUGGUGUGAUGGUGGAAGCGUAGGUGUCUGAAUUUCUAGUUUUUUCUAGGUGUUUAGGUUUUUCAAUAACUUCUGCUGAUGAGAUGCAGUAACAGGAGAAGAUAGAAAUUAACAGCCUGCUCUCGACUGACGGUUGUGCGCGAAUUCGCGAGAGACAAAAAACAAAGAGAGGGGAGAAGGAGACAAACCGUUUGGAAGGUGUCCCCUUUGCUGUACCAUACACACACACACACGCACAUUCAAAGUGUCAGAAACAAUUAUUCAACUAAUGAUAAUUUCUCUUUUUAUAUAACUAUUACAGCUAUGCUAUUAUCAUUGCAUUUAUUAAUAAUUAAUUACAUACGCUGUAAUUUUUAUAGAAUUUAAGUUAUGUUUUCUAUCCAGUACGUACAUUAACAUCCCUACUGCAUUCGAAAUUUACACGCGUUUAUUUGUUGACACGCGUGUAGUUGUAUACUUGUAUCAAGUACUUGUGUAAAUUUCGAAUGCGAUAAGGAUGUUAAUGUACAUACAUGCUGAAUAGAAAAUAUAACUUAAAUUCUAUAAAAAUUGCAGCAUAUGUGAUUAAUUAUUAAUAAAUGCAACGAAAGAGACAAAUUACUA